This is a long non-coding RNA of Sinocyclocheilus anshuiensis, 104 nucleotides long. RefSeq lists it as uncharacterized. The record is from RefSeq and is a predicted model, not a curated record. The transcript is spliced from 4 exons. NCBI's taxonomy places the organism in Eukaryota, Metazoa, Chordata, Actinopteri, Cypriniformes, Cyprinidae.
CAGAAUCUCAGUGAAAAUUAGAGAAAUGCUGCCAGUUAAAUAAGGUUUGUCAGAUAAUUAAGGAAAUCAGCACCAGGUGUCAGAUUAACACCAAUAACUGGGAG